Molecule: non-coding RNA, 31 nt
Filed under: Mus musculus (house mouse)
Lineage: Eukaryota; Metazoa; Chordata; Mammalia; Rodentia; Muridae
Source: RNAcentral
GCAGCCAAAAAUGGGGCGCUGUCCUCAGAAU